RNAcentral lists this ribosomal RNA (253 nucleotides) under uncultured bacterium. RNAcentral's name for it is "partial 16S ribosomal RNA". It matches the Rfam family "Bacterial small subunit ribosomal RNA", at positions 524 to 776 of the family's 1533-position model. The record is from RNAcentral.
UACGAGAGGCCCAAACGUUAUUCGGAAUUACUGGGCUUAAAGAGUUCGUAGGCGGCAUUGCAAGUAGGGUGUGGAAGCCCUCGGCUCAACCGAGGAAUUGCGCUCUAAACUGCAGUGCUCGAGGAACCUAGAGGUGAGCAGAACAGAUGGUGGAGCGGUGAAAUGCGGUGAUAUCAUCUGGAAUACCGGAGGCGAAGGCGGCUCACUGGGGGUUUUCUGACGCUGAGGAACGAAAGCCAGGGUAGCGAACGGG